AAAUAGUAAUAAUUUUAGUAUCCCUUUAGUGCUGUGUCGGUGCUUUUCUAGUAUAAAUGCGUCGCUCUUUCGGUGGUAUUUCAUUGGGAGUAACAGCCUUGGGGUUGAAAUCCCAUCUCGAGGAGAGGUUUUAGUCGGUAGGCGCUACGGCGAAUCCGACACUACCCCCCUUCAGGGGGUGUAUUUUAAAGAUUUCCCCUCCUCGAGGCUA
This is a non-coding RNA of Agrilus planipennis (emerald ash borer), 211 nucleotides long. The record is from Rfam. Lineage: Eukaryota; Metazoa; Arthropoda; Insecta; Coleoptera; Buprestidae.